Molecule: ribosomal RNA, 222 nt
Filed under: Agrobacterium sp. TC1
Lineage: Bacteria; Pseudomonadati; Pseudomonadota; Alphaproteobacteria; Hyphomicrobiales; Rhizobiaceae
Description: partial 16S ribosomal RNA
Rfam family: Bacterial small subunit ribosomal RNA
Source: RNAcentral
UCCUGCGGAAUAGCUCCGGGAAACUGGAAUUAAUACCGCAUACGCCCUACGGGGGAAAGAUUUAUCGGGGAAGGAUUGGCCCGCGUUGGAUUAGCUAGUUGGUGGGGUAAAGGCCUACCAAGGCGACGAUCCAUAGCUGGUCUGAGAGGAUGAUCAGCCACAUUGGGACUGAGACACGGCCCAAACUCCUACGGGAGGCAGCAGUGGGGAAUAUUGGACAAU